RNAcentral lists this unclassified non-coding RNA (656 nucleotides) under Nakaseomyces glabratus. Its description in RNAcentral is "[Candida] glabrata partial contains 18S rRNA, ITS1, 5.8S rRNA, ITS2 and 28S rRNA". The stretch from base 415 to 568 matches the Rfam family "5.8S ribosomal RNA". The record is from RNAcentral. Lineage: Eukaryota; Fungi; Ascomycota; Saccharomycetes; Saccharomycetales; Saccharomycetaceae.
AAGGAUCAUUAAAGAAAUUUAAUUGAUUUGUCUGAGCUCGGAGAGAGACAUCUCUGGGGAGGACCAGUGUAGACACUCAGGAGGCUCCUAAAAUAUUUUCUCUGCUGUGAAUGCUAUUUCUCCUGCCUGCGCUUAAGUGCGCGGUUGGUGGGUGUUCUGCAGUGGGGGGAGGGAGCCGACAAAGACCUGGGAGUGUGCGUGGAUCUCUCUAUUCCAAAGGAGGUGUUUUAUCACACGACUCGACACUUUCUAAUUACUACACACAGUGGAGUUUACUUUACUACUAUUCUUUUGUUCGUUGGGGGAACGCUCUCUUUCGGGAGGGAGUUCUCCCAGUGGAUGCAAACACAAACAAAUAUUUUUUUAAACUAAUUCAGUCAACACAAGAUUUCUUUUAGUAGAAAACAACUUCAAAACUUUCAACAAUGGAUCUCUUGGUUCUCGCAUCGAUGAAGAACGCAGCGAAAUGCGAUACGUAAUGUGAAUUGCAGAAUUCCGUGAAUCAUCGAAUCUUUGAACGCACAUUGCGCCCUCUGGUAUUCCGGGGGGCAUGCCUGUUUGAGCGUCAUUUCCUUCUCAAACACGUUGUGUUUGGUAGUGAGUGAUACUCUCGUUUUUGAGUUAACUUGAAAUUGUAGGCCAUAUCAGUAUGUGGG